This 253-nucleotide unclassified non-coding RNA is filed under the name uncultured bacterium. RNAcentral's name for it is "contains 16S-23S intergenic spacer region". It matches the Rfam family "Bacterial small subunit ribosomal RNA", at positions 524 to 776 of the family's 1533-position model. The record is from RNAcentral.
UACGUAGGGUCCAAGCGUUGUUCGGAUUCACUGGGCGUAAAGGGUGUCUAGGCGGCCAGGUAAGUCGUGUGUGAAAUCUCUCGGCUCAACCGAGAAACUGCACGCGAUACUGCUUGGCUUGAGUACGGUAGGGGGAACUGGAAUUCAGGGUGUAGCGGUGAAAUGCACAGAUAUCCUGGAGAACACCGAUGGCGUAGGCAAGUUCCUGGGCCUGUACUGACGCUGAAGCACGAAAGCUAGGGGAGCAAACAGG